Long non-coding RNA from Biomphalaria glabrata, 1050 nucleotides. RefSeq lists it as uncharacterized. The transcript is spliced from 5 exons. The record is from RefSeq and is a predicted model, not a curated record. NCBI's taxonomy places the organism in Eukaryota, Metazoa, Mollusca, Gastropoda, Planorbidae.
AAAUAUCUUUUAAUGUGUCAUCAAGAUUUGCACUUCUUACACGUAGAUGAUCGUAUAAUCUCUUUUGACAACUCGUCAGGCUGCACAUAAGUCAAUAACUUAACCGAAUUUGUGCUACUUGUGCUAGGUGUUUUCAAACAUAUUUAGCUUACAAUACAUCCAAAAGUUCUCUUUACGAUAUUUAAGUCUUUUCUUUAUAAAAUGUAGUUGUCAUCCGUAAGUAAUGCAUUGGUUUGUCUAGUUUAGUUCAUCAACAUACCUAAACAGAACUACAUCUUCUUUUCAUUACAAGAGCAUGUAAACUUUUGAUUUCAAACGCGUUCCUAUAUUGACGACUUGCAUACGAAACACAAGGAGACAGAAAGGCAACAAGAAACAAAAAGUGCAUCAAUAGAGGAUUACUGACCAUUGGAUCAAAGGUCAUCAUAAAACUUUUUAAAAUAGCAAUAUUGGUUGUCUUUGUACUGGUCGUGCAUGUAACUGGUCAAUCAGAAUAUAAAUAUAAGCCCUCAGUUGUCCAGGUGAAAUGUACAAGAAAUAGAUCAGAAGGAUUCCAAUUGCUGUAUGGAAUAAAUUUUCAAAAGUGCAUUUACUGGAGUCAAUCAAACAAAUCCUUCGAUCAAGCUGUCUCCCAUUGUAAAGAUAAAGGUGGCUUCCUGGUCACAAUAAAGACCAGCGCAGAAAUGGCUCUGGUAUCUCAGAAUGCGAAAAACUGGGCUUUCUGGAUAGGCUGUGAUGACAAGAAGGAGAAAGGAACUUAUGUCUGGCAUGAUGAUGGGAGACCGGUUCAAGAUGUGGAAAAAACGUUACAUAUAGUAAAAUCUGUUAAAGAAAGCCCGUACGGAUCUUGCUGUGGUUUAAUAGUUUUUUAUGGUUUUAGCGAGAUUUCUCCUAGUAUCUGCUCACAAAUAAUUCCCUAUGCCUGUGAGUUAAAAUAAUCGUUUGCUUAUCAAUUCAUGAAACUAGAAAUGUGGCAUUUAAACAUUUUGGAUGUUACAGUUGAAAAAGAAAGAGGUUAAACGAAAUAUAAAUUGAAAGCAAAAAAAAAAA